This 253-nucleotide ribosomal RNA is filed under the name uncultured bacterium. Its description in RNAcentral is "partial 16S ribosomal RNA". It matches the Rfam family "Bacterial small subunit ribosomal RNA", at positions 524 to 776 of the family's 1533-position model. The record is from RNAcentral.
UACGAAGGGUGCAAGCGUUACUCGGAAUUACUGGGAGUAAAGCGUGCGUAGGCGGUUUGUUAAGUCCGUUGUGAAAGCCCUGGGCUCAACCUGGGAAUUGCAGUGGAUACUGGCGAGCUAGAGUGCGGUAGAGGAUGGUGGAAUUCCCGGUGUAGCGGUGAAAUGCGUAGAGAUCGGGAGGAACACCCGUGGCGAAGGCGGCUAUCUGGACCAGCACUGACGCUGAGGCACGAAAGCGUGGGGAGCAAACAGG